RNAcentral lists this long non-coding RNA (1588 nucleotides) under Homo sapiens (human). RNAcentral's name for it is "non-protein coding lnc-FAM9C-6:1". Lineage: Eukaryota; Metazoa; Chordata; Mammalia; Primates; Hominidae. The record is from RNAcentral.
GAAAAAAUAUUAAGGGCAGCCAGAGAGAAAGGUCAGGUUACCUACAAAGGGAAGCCCAUCAGACUAACAGUGGAUCUCUCUGCAGAAACCCUACAAGCCAGAAGAGAGUGGGGGCUAAUAUUCAAUAUACAUUCUUCUCAGGAGCACAUCGCAGUUAUUCUAAAAAUGACCACAUAAUUGGACGUAAAACACUCCUCAGCAAAUGCAAAAUAAUGGAAAUCACAACAAACAGUCUCUCAGCUGGGGUGAUAGGCAUGCACCACCACUCCUGGCUAAUUUUGUAUUUUUAGUAGAGACAGGGUUUCUCCAUGUUGGCCAGGCUGGUCUCGAACUCCUGACCUCAGGUGAUCCGCCCACCCAUUACUAUAUUGAGGUCCAUGUUUCUCCUACCCUUAGAACACUCAUCCUACCCUUAAAACAAAAAAUAAACCUGACUACGUAAGAAGGUUUUUAAAGUCCUGCAGAGAAUAAAAAUACAAAAUAGGAGAAGAAAUGAAAAAACUUGGAGAAAUAUUUGCAACACACAUGAGAAACAGCUGUGAUCUCGUCUAUGCAAAACUGUAGACAAUCCACAAGAAACGUCCCAGCCAAGAGAACAAUAGGCAAAAGAUUUGAAUAGAGACCCAUCUCAUGGAAAAUCAACAUACCCUGGUGAGGGCACUACCCUCACCCACAGCAACCAGAGCUCACAGGAAGAGGAUGCCAUAGAUCACCUACCUGAUCUGGAAGUAAACUGCCUGAUAACCCACUGUGUGAGCAAGGCUGUGUAGAAAGUCACUGGCAUCCAUACAUGAUGGAAUGUCAACUGGUAUAUUUUUUGGAAAAGACCAUAUUUUGGCACUGCCCAUCAAACCUAAAAUGGCUCAUGCCUUUUGACUCGGCAAUUCCACUUCUAGGAACGUAUCCUACUAGCACACGUGUACAAAAUGUCAAAGCAACGAUAUUGCUUCACAACUGCAUUUAAGAGUGCAAACAACGGCACCUACAAAUGGGGAAGAGGGGGCCUGACUGGUCACAGGAGCUGUGGUACAUGCACACAAGGGAAUAUUGCACAGCUGCACAACACGACUAUGGAAUCAUUGUUAAGAUACAGCAAGUGAGUUUUUCAGAAAAGCACAGUGAAGAACUGUGUACAUCGCAUUGCCAUUUGCGUGAAAUAAAUAGGCAGAUAUACGCUUAAAUAACACAAUUCUGACACUGGAAAUAACGGUGGCAUUUAAAGAACAGGGAUGGGACACUUUUGUACUGUCUGAAUUUCUGCUAAGAGCAUGUAUGAUAUUCUUAGACUAUGUAUAUAAAAACAAGGUUGGGGGAGGAAAGAAAGAUGGUCAUACAAAUUUGUGGAAUCUACUAUUCUUUGGGCUGAGUAGCUGCCAAAAUAACAUUUUCUGGUUUACAAAGGUAUCUGCCAGACACAAAGGCCAUGUUCUAUACUACCAAUUGAUAUACAAAGUCUCCAAAAGAUAACCCCAUAAAGAUAGAAAGUAGAUUCCUGGCUGCCAGGGAUAAGGUGGGGGGAAGUAAAUGGGGAGUGACUGCUAAUGGGUACAGGGUUUCUUUUUGGGGUGAUAAAAAUGCUCUGGAAUUA